Molecule: ribosomal RNA, 885 nt
Filed under: uncultured Chloroflexota bacterium
Lineage: Bacteria; Bacillati; Chloroflexota
Description: bacterial SSU rRNA
Rfam family: Bacterial small subunit ribosomal RNA
Source: RNAcentral
GUGCCAGCAGCCGCGGGUAAAACGUAGGACGCAAGCGUUAUCCGGAAUUACUGGGUGUAAAGCGCGUGCAGGCGGGCUAGCCAGUCUUUCGUGAAAGCUCCCGGCUAAACUGGGAGAGGUCGGAAGAUACUGUUAGUCUGGAGGGUGGCAGAGGAAUGUGGAAUUCCGCGUGUAGUGGUGAAAUGCGUAGAGAUGCGGAGGAACACCAGUKGCGAAGGCGGCAUUCUGGGCCACACCUGACGCUGAGACGCGAAAGCAUGGGUAGCGAACGGGAUUAGAAACCCCGGUAGUCCAUGCCGUAAACGAUGUGUACUAGAUGUUCGUAUGCGCUACGGCGUGUGUGAGUGUCGGAGCAAACGCGUUAAGUACACCCGCCUGGGGGAGUACGGUCGCAAGGCUAAAACUCAAAGGAAUUGACGGGGGCCCGCACAAGCAGCGGAGCGUGUGGUUUAAUUCGAGCUACGCGAAAAACCUUACCCGGGUUUGACAUCUAGGUAGUAGAGAAGUGAAAGCGGAUCGACCUUCGGGAGCCUAGACAGGUGCUGCAUGGCUGUCGUCAGCUCGUGUCGUGAGAUGUUCGGUUAAGUCCGAAAACGAGCGCAACCCCUAUUGCUAGUUACAAGUGUCUAGCGAGAACCUCUACGGCAAGUAGGAGGAAGGUGGGGAUGACGUCAAGUCAGCAUGGCCUUUAUAUCCGGGGCUAMACACACGCUACAAUGGCGCGUACAAUGGGUCGCGAAGCCGCGAGGUGGAGCCAAUCCUACAAAGCGCGUCGUAGUUCGGAUUGCAGGCUGCAACUCGCCUGCAUGAAGUCGGAGUUGCUAGUAACCGCAGAUCAGCACGCUGCGGUGAAUACGUUCCCGGGCCUUACACACACCGCCCGUC